This 519-nucleotide ribosomal RNA is filed under the name uncultured eukaryote. RNAcentral describes it as "bacterial SSU rRNA". It matches the Rfam family "Eukaryotic small subunit ribosomal RNA", at positions 1161 to 1705 of the family's 1831-position model. The record is from RNAcentral.
AGGGCACCACCAGGAGUGGAGCCUGCGGCUUAAUUUGACUCAACACGGGAAAUCUCACCAGGCCCGGACACCGGAAGGAUUGACAGAUUGAGAGCUCUUUCUUGAUUCGGUGGGUGGUGGUGCAUGGCCGUUCUUAGUUGGUGGAGCGACUUGUCUGGUUAAUUCCGAUAACGAACGAAACUCUGGCCUACUAACUAGACGUUGGAUCAUUUAUGGUCCUUCUCUGCCUCUUAGGGGGACGGGCGGGGUUCAGCCGCACGAGAAUGAGUAAUAACUGGACUGGGAUGCCCUUAGAUGUUCUGGGAUGCGCACACGCUAUUUUGAAGGAAUCAGCGCGCGCCAUACCUCGUUCGGAAGAUCCGGCUAACCCUUGUUAAUUCUUUCGAGCUUGGGAUAGGGAAGUGUUAUUUUUUCCCUUAAAGCACGAAUCCCAGUAAAUGGGGAUCAUAACCUCCUGGGGUUCAUCCCUGACCUUUGGAAAGGCUUCGGUCGCUUCUCCUGAUUGUAUGAUUUCUAUCG